UGCGACAAAGGCAACCCCGUCGCAAGAUGGGUGAGCGCAAAGCCACGGGCCUCUAAGAGGCAGCCGGGAUACCGAAC
Molecule: non-coding RNA, 77 nt
Submitted as: unclassified sequences
Source: Rfam